RNAcentral lists this long non-coding RNA (844 nucleotides) under Brassica rapa (field mustard). RNAcentral's name for it is "long non-coding RNA (BRAP_LNC008214)". The record is from RNAcentral. Lineage: Eukaryota; Viridiplantae; Streptophyta; Magnoliopsida; Brassicales; Brassicaceae.
AGGCACAAGAGCUCACUGGCCAAUCCCUAGGCUUUGGAGAGCUCUACUCUUUUUCCCUUGCAAGGUUUUGUCCCAAUGGGUUUUCCUUGUAAGGUUUUUAAUGAGGGAGACUCUUCAGAGUUCCAAGCUUGGCUUAGGAUCUCCUAAAGUCAAGCUUGAGGGGGAGUGUUGAACUGAAGAGAAGAUAGAGCUUGUACAAUAAAAGGGCAAGCUCUAGAAGAUGUCCAGAAGAGUUCAAUCAAGCUUCAGAAGUGAUUAGAAGCUGAUGCAAAGAAGAUACAAGAUCUAAGAAGUGUCUUGAAGGUGUAUACAAGACAUUGGAGGAGUUUGGGAGAUUAUGGUCGAUGGUGCAAAGUUAGGGAUCAGCCUGUACGGACGGACGUACGGAUGGUACGGACCGUACGGACAUGAUCGACCCAAAACUUAUCAGGUAGACCACUUGAGCACAUUUGAGGAAUGUGCAAUCUUAGGGUACAAGGUGUACGGUCAUGACAUCCGUACAGCCAAGUCUGAUCAUGUCUUGGGAGACAAGUUAAGGAGAAGGGCGUGUGAAACUAUCCAAGGGAGAAAGAUCCAUUUGGCAUAUUCAAAGAUGCCUUAGGAAGCAACCAGGAAGGUGCCUUUCUCUCCAGCUCACACAGACCAAUCACAGCAAAGUAUUCAGUCCACAAGACAGCUCAUGACAGCCUGUAAAGGCCAGACACACCAAAGACUCCCAUUGGCCAAGCAUGUGAUGAUUCUGGUCCAUAGAAUUCAAAUGGGCGCUCCCCUUUAUGCUGACUUCACAUGCUUAGGUUAUCUGAUGAAUCCAGCCUCCAUUUAUGUAUUUAAGCUUCUUGUAAAC